This 822-nucleotide long non-coding RNA is filed under the name Salmo salar (Atlantic salmon). RNAcentral's name for it is "lncRNA (ENSSSAG00000113739.1)". The record is from RNAcentral. Lineage: Eukaryota; Metazoa; Chordata; Actinopteri; Salmoniformes; Salmonidae.
CAGGUCAUAAUCUGUAGCUAGAUCUAUAGUCUCUCUAAUAUUAUGACAGGUCAGGACAUAAUCUGUAGCUAGAUCUAUAGUCUAAUAUUAUGACAGGUCAGGACAUAAUCUGUAGCUAGAUCUAUAGUUUAAUAUUAUGACAGGUCAGGUCAUAAUCUGUAGCUAGAUCUAUAGUCUCUAAUAUUAUGACAGGUCAGGUUAUAAUCUGUAGCUAGAUCUAUUGUCUAAUAUUAUGACAUAAUCUGUAGCUAGAUCUAUUGUCUCUAAUACUAUGACAGGUCAGGACAUAAUCUGUAGUUAGAUCUAUUGUCUAAUAUCAUGACAGGUCAUGUCAUAAUCUGUAGCUAGAUCUAUAGUCUAAUAAUAUGACAGGUCAGGACAUAAUUUGUAGCUAGAUCUAUUGUCUAAUAUUAUGACAGGUUAGGACAUAAUCUGUAGCUAGAUCUAUUGUCUAAUAUUAUGACAUGUCAGGACAUAAUUUGUAGCUAGAUCUAUAGUCUAAUAUUAUGACAGGUCAGGACAUAAUCUGUAGCUAGAUCUAUUGUCUAAUACCAUGACAGGUCAGGACAUAAUCUGUAGCUAGAUCUAUAGUCUACUAUUGUGACAGGUCAGGACAUAAUUAGUUUAUGUAUUUUGGUUACAGAUUUCUAUUAGUUAGAAUUCUGUUAUUUGUGAUUCAAUGGUUGAAUUUAGCUGGUGCUGUUGAGCCAGUUGCUCCAAAGGGUGACGCUCCGGGCUGUGGGGUUUGCAUUAGAAAGCCUUGUGGUUAUAAUGUUCUGGAUAAACAGGGUGAUAGGUGAGUCCAGAAUUUGGAGGCUCUUU